This is a long non-coding RNA of Amblyraja radiata (thorny skate), 158 nucleotides long. RefSeq lists it as uncharacterized. The transcript has 3 exons. Lineage: Eukaryota; Metazoa; Chordata; Chondrichthyes; Rajiformes; Rajidae. The record is from RefSeq and is a predicted model, not a curated record.
CGGUUACAGGGGAUGUGCCUUGGAGCGGGUUGUUUUAGGUGGGAAGGGAUGAGUGAACCAAGGAGUUGCAGAAAGAGUGGUUUCUGCAAAAGACGGAAAGGGAUGUAGAUGGGAAAAUGUGCCUGGUGGUGGGUUCACGUUGGAGGUGGAGGAUAUUU